UAUACAUGCAAGUCGAGCGACAGAGAAGGAGCUUGCUCCUUUGACGUUAGCGGCGGACGGGUGAGUAACACGUGGGCAACCUACCUUAUAGUUUGGGAUAACUCCGGGAAACCGGGGCUAAUACCGAAUAAUCUGUUCCACCUCAUGGUGGAACACUGAAAGACGGUUUCGGCUGUCGCUAUAGGAUGGGCCCGCGGCGCAUUAGCUAGUUGGUGAGGUAACGGCUCACCAAGGCGACGAUGCGUAGCCGACCUGAGAGGGUGAUCGGCCACACUGGGACUGAGACACGGCCCAGACUCCUACGGGAGGCAGCAGUAGGGAAUCUUCCACAAUGGGCGAAAGCCUGAUGGAGCAACGCCGCGUGAGUGAAGAAGGUUUUCGGAUCGUAAAACUCUGUUGUAAGGGAAGAACAAGUACAGUAGUAACUGGCUGUACCUUGACGGUACCUUAUUAGAAAGCCACGGCUAACUACGUGCCAGCAGCCGCGGUAAUACGUAGGUGGCAAGCGUUGUCCGGAAUUAUUGGGCGUAAAGCGCGCGCAGGCGGUCCUUUAAGUCUGAUGUGAAAGCCCACGGCUCAACCGUGGAGGGUCAUUGGAAACUGGGGGACUUGAGUGCAGAAGAGGAAAGUGGAAAUUCCAAGUGUAGCGGUGAGAUGCGUAGAGAUUUGGAGGAACACCAGUGGCGAGGCGACUUUCUGGUCUGUAAC
Molecule: ribosomal RNA, 708 nt
Filed under: Lysinibacillus fusiformis
Lineage: Bacteria; Bacillati; Bacillota; Bacilli; Caryophanales; Bacillaceae
Description: bacterial SSU rRNA
Rfam family: Bacterial small subunit ribosomal RNA
Source: RNAcentral